RNAcentral lists this ribosomal RNA (253 nucleotides) under uncultured bacterium. RNAcentral's name for it is "partial 16S ribosomal RNA". It matches the Rfam family "Bacterial small subunit ribosomal RNA", at positions 524 to 776 of the family's 1533-position model. The record is from RNAcentral.
UACGUAGGGCGCAAGCGUUGUCCGGAAUUAUUGGGCGUAAAGAGCUCGUAGGUGGUGUGUCGCGUCUGCCGUGAAAGCCCGGGGCUUAACUCCGGGUCUGCGGUGGAUACGGGCAGACUAGAGGCAGGUAGGGGAGAACGGAAUUCCCGGUGUAGCGGUGAAAUGCGCAGAUAUCGGGAGGAACACCAAUGGCGAAGGCAGCUCGCUGGGACGUUACUGACGCUGAGACGCGAAAGCGUGGGGAGCAAACAGG